RNAcentral lists this small RNA (30 nucleotides) under Bombyx mori (domestic silkworm). Its description in RNAcentral is "ovarian small RNA-20198". The record is from RNAcentral. Lineage: Eukaryota; Metazoa; Arthropoda; Insecta; Lepidoptera; Bombycidae.
UACACCUAACAUCCACAAUAACGUGAACAC